GACGAACGCUGGCGGCGUGCUUAACACAUGCAAGUCGAACGAGGCUUGAUUACGGAUUCUUCGGAUGAAGUAUGAUAUGACUGAGUGGCGGACGGGUGAGUAACGCGUGAGUAACCUGCCCUUCAGAGGGGGAUAGCGUUUGGAAACGAACGGUAAUACCGCAUAAUGUAUUUUGACCGCAUGAUCGAAAUACCAAAGAUUUAUCGCUGAAGGAUGGACUCGCGUCUGAUUAGGUAGUUGGUGGGGUAACGGCCUACCAAGCCGACGAUCAGUAGCCGGACUGAGAGGUUGAUCGGCCACAUUGGGACUGAGACACGGCCCAGACUCCUACGGGAGGCAGCAGUGGGGAAUAUUGCACAAUGGGCGCAAGCCUGAUGCAGCAACGCCGCGUGAAGGAAGACGGUUUUCGGAUUGUAAACUUCUGUUCUUAGUGAAGAAUAAUGACGGUAGCUAAGGAGCAAGCCACGGCUAACUACGUG
Molecule: ribosomal RNA, 479 nt
Filed under: uncultured bacterium
Lineage: Bacteria
Description: partial 16S ribosomal RNA
Rfam family: Bacterial small subunit ribosomal RNA
Source: RNAcentral